CAGCUGAGAGAAGCCGGCUUCCAUUGUAAAUGAGUGACUUCCGGUAACUUUAGACGCUGAAGUCGGUGGCGGUGUGAAUGUCCGGUAAACUAUAUAUUAUUUACCUAAAAUAAAAGUAUUUUAAACUAAGUAAAGCGCUGUAACGUGGACAGUCUUUAGUGCGAUAGAAAGUAAAAAUCCAAACGGCAGUUGCUUGUUGUAUUUAGCCGCUACAGAGAUCCGGGACGCUGGCUACCAGCGGCAGUUGUUUAGCCGCCAAUAAGUGAAUGCAAGCCGGCUACAGGCACCGCCAGCUGACAGGCCUUUCAGGGGCCAUGGUGGUGGAGUUUAGCCAGAGAAAACGGAUGAAACUGUGUUGAGCUUGUGUUGGAUGGACGCGAUCCCAUCGAUGAAAACCGACUGGAAGAUGAUGCAGCGAGCUCUGCCUGCAAAGUCUGGGAUCUGAGACAGCUCAUACAGGAACCUGCACAACCACAUCAACAGUAAGAGGACACACACACACACACACACAAGUGUAUACAUAAACAAUUACUGGUGCAGUAUCUAAAUAUUUCUGUUAGCAGGUGAGAUACUGACUGUUCAGGUUUGUCUAGCAGUUUAACUUCUUCUUCCUCUGACGUCUCGUAGUGUUUCUUAAUUCUCUCCAGUUCCUCUGGCUGCGCUCUCUGACACAUUGACAAGUAAAUAUAAAUGAAGGGAUGCAUAAUUGCACACUUGCAGUUGCAGGUAAACCACAGUAAAGUGUGCUGUUAUACCUACAUUUUCAUACAGCGCUUCAAUCGUCUCCAGGUCCACCACAGAGUGAUCCACUGCCAGGACAGCUAGAAGAGAGAAUGUAAAAACAAAAGCACAGAUUUCACUUUAAUUGACGAUACGGCAGUUAAUAGGACACUAUGAAAAUAUACCAAAAAAAGGAAAAUUAAAGAGGCCAACCGUAGAGCCUCAGUUCUCCAGAGGAACAAUAACACAUCCCUCUCAGUCUGCUGUGUUCUUCAAACAAUUUUAGGAGUUUGGAAUUAGCAAUUCAGAUUGCUUCUCUGUAACUGUCUUGUUGACAUUGCGGUGAGGGUUUCAGCCUUUAAUCCUACUUUAAGUUCACCAACAGCUCAUAUUCAAAAUAAAAUACAGGGUGACUUAAUUGUGAUGACGGGGUUCAAGUUAAACAAGGGUGAUGUUCAGGGAGCCGCGGUUACUUGAAUGUUUACAGAUGAAGACUGCAGGUUCAAGUUCCCAAGACUGGCUGGGAAAUACCGCUAGUUUAAUGAUUUACUGUAAUCCUCUAGUCUAAUGUGUUCAAAAUGACAAUGUUUGUUUGAUUUCACACACUCAAUGUUGAUGUGAGUCUAAUGAUAGUCUUUCAUGUUUUUUGUUUUUUGUUAUCAUUAGGGAAACCCUGACUAUGUAUAAACAUGGAAACAUAUAAUAUAGCUUCUAAGUUAGCUAAAAUAACGGCAAUGUUUGCCAGUGGUGGAUGAAGUUGUCAAAUCCUUUAAUUUAGUAAAAGUAACAAUACUACAAUUUAAAAAAA
Molecule: long non-coding RNA, 1528 nt
Organism: Etheostoma cragini (Arkansas darter)
Lineage: Eukaryota; Metazoa; Chordata; Actinopteri; Perciformes; Percidae
Exons: 2
Source: RefSeq, a predicted model, not a curated record